UUUCUUUCCUUUACCCAUUCUAUCCUAGAGAUUUUAUAUAGGUCUCUGGUUCAGAACUAAGAACUUGCAUAACCAUGGUAGUAGAGAUGAUUCCCUAAGUAGUUAAAGUAUCCUGGUUUCUGUUGCUAGGCUUAACUACUUCCUCCUACCUCUAUAGGCCUACAGUUUCAUAGAAGCAGUCCCAGGUAGUGUCAUCAACAUCAUUUUUCAACCUCCUUACCCUAGUAAGAAAGUUCCAUCUCAGUGUUUCAUUUCUAGCAAUGAGUUCAACUCCAGUCAUCUACCAUGCCUGGAACAAUUUAGUCCCUAUUAUUCCAUGGACUCCCUUGUCCAGAUUCUGGAUUUGGAACUAGUCAUCUGUGGUUUCAGCCCUGUUUACCAUCUCAACAUUAAUCCAUCUAGAAAAAGAAAAUCAACUGCAUUUCCUGAUGCAGAAUAGGGUUGGGAAUUAUUUAGAGUUGAAUGGACCAGGGUGUCAACCACAGACUUAUCACUUACUAGCUGGGAUGUUGGGGGAUAUUUAUCUAACUUGUUUGAGCCUCAGUUUUCCCAUUGGUCAAUUAUAAAUGAUAAAACCUUUGCCACAAGAUUGAUGAGAUAAAGUUUAAAACAGUGUCUGGCACCCAGUAGGUGCUCACAGCAUGUAUUAGAAUUAUUAAACAAUCAUUUUAAGAGGUAAAUAUUAUGUUCCAAGUAAAUCCAUAUUUGCAGUCAGAAUUUUUUUUCUCACUAAAUACGGGAUCUUGACUCAGACUUUCUCCUUCAUUCUCUUCAUCCCUCCUUCCUGGAACUUACGGGUCAGGAUGUUUAAAAAUAUGAAUUUUAACGGGCUAAUCAUGAGUUUUUACAAGCGAAUAGGUAAAAUUUCAUUUAUUUUUUGUACUUUAUGAUUUAUAUCCAACUUUCAAAGUAUUCUUAAGAUAGUUUACAAGAAAAGAAAUGUGUACAAUAAGUUGGAUGAAUAAGAGAAAGAGAAAUUUAAACCAUAAAGGAGGAAGAGAAAAUAAUUAUGCCAAAAACCUGAGCUAACCAUUACUGUAAUUGAGCAUUAAAUUUGUUCAAGGCUUCUUGGCAGCUAAAGGCAAAAAAGAGGAAAUGUGAUGGGUGACAUAAUUCUCAGUGGCUAAAGUUUUUCUCUUAAGUAGUUUAGCAAGGUUAUGGUGGGGUAGAAGCCAUUUGGGGGUUAAGCUCCAUUGGGGCUGCAUGAUGUGGAGAAGAAGGUAUUCUUUACUGGGGAUGGUAGAGUCUAUCCCCAUGGCUUUAGCAACAUAUUGGAUGACUUUAGCUUUGUAUGGCUUAGUUCAAAUCUGACUAGAGCCAGGAAACUGAGAUUGGUGACUUUUUAAACAACCUUUUUAAAAAUUUCAGAUAAUAAAAAAAAAUAAAAUAAAAAAAAAUAAAAAUUUCAGAUAAUAAAAAAAUACAUAUCUAUUAUCAAAGAUUUGAAAAAUACAAAAGAAUAUAAAGGAACAAAAGUUCAUAAUCCCAUCACUUAGAAACAAUCAUUAUUAAAACUUUAGUGAAUUUCCUUCCAAACUUUUUUCUAUGUGUACUUAUAUUAACUGACUUCUUGCAGUUUUCUUCUAGUUAGAGGACUCUCUAAAUUAGGUGGUCUUUGGCCCACGUGGUUGUUACAUUUAACUAAUGAAAAUAGCUGCUGCUUGCCUAUUGAAUGUCUAAUGUGCUCCAGGCCCUGUAUUUCCAGUCUUUCUAAUAUCAACAGGUACAAGGCAAUUUUUCCGAUUUGCAGAGAGGUUAUGUAACUUGACUACAUCACACAAUAAAAGGAGAGCAAAAACACAGAUGCUGGUGUAUCUGCCUGUGCUGCUUCGUCUCCUUCUUUUACCGGGUGCUGCUUCCCUGAGACACAGGCCUAUUCCUGGCACCUGCUGCUCACCUGGGACUCCUGGGAGUGGGGGUGCCUGGGUCUGACAUCAUCUUGCCUGAUUCAUGGGCCCCAAAUGGCCAACACAAAAAGCAGAAGGAGCUCAUUCUUUCCCUAUUCUCUCCUCUUUCCUCCUGUUCCUUCCCCUACAUGCUGAAGUCAAGAGGCUAAAUUGCUUAGGUUCCCAGGUUAGGCCAGCCAGCUGUUGGGAUGCUUUUGGCUUUGAUAAAAUUUUAUAAUUCAAACUUCCUAUAGAAACAAAGUUAAGAGAAAGCUGAGAAUCUCAGUUCUGUUUUCAGUCCCGAGGAUACUGAAGAGCAUGGAGAAUUUUUGUCAUUGUUAUUACUAUGGUUUGUAAUUGAAGCUUUGUGCAGAUGUGACUUUAUUCUCUCCUGAGCCCCUCUAUCUGCUCAGAAACUUCUUUCAUGAGUGAAUCACAGAUUAAAGUGUCCUGCAGAAGCCCCCAUGUAGCCAGUAAGAGCCUGCUCCCUCAGCACAGACCAGGCCACGUGGUUGCCAGGGUAGGCUGGUUGCCACACCCAGAAAGGCAGCCUAUUGUGAGUGGCCUCCAGCCAACACAAGCAGUGUCUUGGGCUCUCAGGGUGCCUCCUACCUGAAAACUGGCCAAUCUUCUCCCCUCUCUGUCACCACUUCUGGGGACCUAUGAGCUAAGUCUCGAAAUACUAAGAGGCCUAAAUGUCAGGGCUCCUGGUUGGCCACACAGUGAGCUGAGUUGAGAACAGAACUCUGAAUGGUCUGGGUGCAGGCUGGGCUGCCAGUGGGUGUGAGUCAGCAACUACAAUGCCCUCUCUCCACUACACUUGCACUGCACUAAGCACAGAGGUUGGUGUUUCCCUACAAUCACUCCUCUGACCUUGGCACAGCAGGGCCUGCUUCCCGAAGGAGAUGUCUGGAGGGGAAAAAAGCUUUAAAAGAGGAUAUUGCACACCUGAGCUUUCAACACCACGUGGUGGUAGUUUCUGUCAGUUGAAGCAUAAUAUAUGACAAACCAGGAAGAAGCUAGUUUUCCUGAUGUGCAAAGUGACUUGCCCCUGAGAUUUUGGACCAAGUUAAUUAUAAUAACACCAGAACAACAAUAGCAAUACUAACCACAACUAACAUUUACCUAGCCCUGAACAUAUGCCAAGUGGUUCUAAGUCCUUUAUGUAUAUCAACUUGUGUAUUUCCCCCAGUUUACAGAUAAGAAAACUGAAACACCAGGAAUUUAAAUAACUUGCCUGGUGUCACACAGCUAGUAAGUGGCCGAACCUGAACCCCAGCAACUCUAGCUUCUUAACUCAGCUCAAGAGUUUGGCUUGGACAUUCAUGUGGGAGGAAUGGCAGACUGUAAAAAAAUCACAAAUUUUCCAAAUUUUCCAAUAGCUUCUUAAACCCAAGGGCAUCUCAGAUUGUGCCCCUGCACAUGGCUCUGUCAUGCUAAUUCCAUAUUCAGAGAUCACAGAAUUGUGUCUGGCUGUCUGGAAAAGGAAAGAAAUCCCCCAAACAUUGAACUGGCCUGAAGUAUUUAGCCUUUUUGGUUGGUGUGAAAGAGCAGCUCACCAUAAGGCUGUAGGAUGUCUGGACCACACUGGGGGGAGGCCCUGGCAACAGUGCCCAGAAGUGGAACAUCCCUAGCUGAAUACAGGCCCCAUCCAGGGAGAACUCUGAUGGCUGGAAUGUGCACAUAUAGACAGAUGGUGCUUAGCCAGGAGGGCAGUGAGAGUUUUCAGAUGGUCAUCAGGAAAAUGCUGAGGUGACUAUUGUGAUUUUCCAUCCCCAGAUCUUGGGACCUGGGGAUGUUGUUGUCUUUUACAUUGCAGCUAUCUACCAGACUCUGGGUUAGUUUUCUAUUGCUGGUGUAACAAAUUACCCCAAAUACAGUGGCUUAAAGCAAUACGAGUAUAUCGUUUUGUAGUUUGGGAGGUCAAAAGUCUGACACAGGUCUCACAUUGCUAAAAUCAAGGUGUUGAAAGGGUUGUCUUCCUUUCUAGAGACUCUAGGGGGGAAAAGUACAUUUUCUUAGUUUUUCAGCUUCUGGUCACUGCUCACAUUUCUUGGCUCAUGGCCCCCUUCCAUCUUCAAAGCCAGCAAUGGGUCACAUUGCAUCAGUCUGGCACUGACUCUUCUGUCUUCCUCUUCCAUGUCUAAAGACCCUGUGAUUACAUUGGGCCUACUUGUGCAAUCCAGAAUAAUAUUCCUAUUUUAAAGUCAACGGAUUAGCAACCUUAAAUCCAUGUAUUACCGUAAUGCUCUCUUUUCAUAAAAUAUAACAUAUUCACAGGUUCCAGAGAUUAGAACAUGAGCAUCUUUGGAAGGCCAUUAUUCUGUUGAUCACAGGCCCCAAAUGGAAAAGCUGAACAUCCCUAUCAUGGAUAUUUGUAGCCCAGUUGAGAGCCUGCCCAGCAGCUGGCAGUCUCUGCUGCAUGCUAGAGAAGAAUCACUGGGGACCUGCUCCAGAGAAAAGGUUGGGCAAUCCAUAUAUGGUGUUCAAAAAGCUGCAGAUGCACCUGCUUUCUUGAGAAGACCCAAACACUAAAAAUCUCAAGUUUCAAAACCUCUGCUCUGCAUCAGAACCUAGAUAAAGAACCCAUCCCAUGUGGUCAAAUCAAUGACACAGGCAACUAGGAAGCUUUCUUCAAGGGACAAUUGACAGAAGAAUGUGAGCACUCUCCCACAGUUAACUCAUCCCUAAAAUCUCAAGAGUAUGUCUCCAGAAUAUUUUAAAAUCAUGUGUUCUAGAUCUGUUAGGCACAUUUUAUGUAAAGCCAGCUUGAGCCUGUGGGCAUCCUUAGUCUAUCUCUCUACUAGGGAAGUUAAGUGUAGUCCUUGUAAUUUGCUUAUAUUUCUUGGUCUUGAAACACCUCCUUCAGGAGUAUUCCUAAUUCCAACACUCCAGUGUGUUACCCACUCAGAGUAUCCAUACACUAUCUAUAUCCACACACUUUUAGUCUGUCCAGCCUAAAAAGGUUGGAUUUUUUACAUUUUAAGCAUCUUGUUAUAUAUGUUUCAAACUUUUCAGUGCUUCUAAGCCACUCUGGGAUCAUGACAGGAGCUUUCUCUGUUGGUCCAUUAUGCUGAUUCUGUGUGUGUUCCUGGGUAGGUCAUGUGACCUCUCUCUCUCACUUUCCUCAUAUGCAACAUGAGGAUAAUAAUAGUACCUACCCUAUAGGGCUGGAGUCAGGAGUAAAUGAGUGAACCAUGCAAAGCCUUUAGAACAGUGCAUAGUACUUGGUAAAGCUGUAAUACAUCUUGGCUCUUAUAAUUGUUAAAAGGCCUAAUAAUACAUGAACCCUAUCUCUUAGAGUCACCAGAACCAGCCAUUUUGUAAUGUCUCCAGACAUUGAUAUUCAUUCCACCUUGAGGGUAGAAGACACAUUCCUAAUCAAAGUGCCUUUUUUUGCUUUGCUCUAUAGGCAUACUAUUCCCAUAAAGGCUAUUGCUAAUAGUUAAGGUAAGAUAUCAGGAUCCAUUGUCAAGGCAGUGGAGACGGGCAGAUAGAGGGCUGAGUACUUAUGCCAAGAGAAAGCUUUUCUUCUCAGCUUGGGGUAUAGGCACGAAUCUAGCAGACUGGGUUCUCUUGGGGCCCUUUGGUGCCGCAUUUUACCCUAAUCUAAACUCAAAAGGGAGCCUCUUAGGAGAGUGUCAUGUCUCCCUAACAGUCAGCCCAGUCCUAUUAAUUCAAAAGGCCACCUGGACAAUUAUUGUCAUGAAGAGCUCUUGGCUAAGACAAUUCUAUUGUUCCAGCAAACCUCCAUAUCCCAGCUCCACUUACAUCUCUAUACUUUGGGGCAUAGUGCUGAAUGUCACAAAACUACCCUUGGGUUCUAUAAAGAAGCAUGAGCCCUAAGGCUUCCACCCCACCCCAGGGCUGCUUUCUGACCUCUGACCUCUUGCCCAGUAUUCCGCUUUCCAUUCUCAUAGCAGUGGUUACCCAGACUGACUCCAAAUGGCCAGAUUCUGCUACUAAGCCCAGAGGAGUUUCAAGACUGGAGAACCUUAAUUCCAAAUAGCACACAGGCCACAUAAAUUCCUCAAAUAUGCACCCCAAAACAAGAGUCCCCAGGGAUUCAGUUUAUCUCACCAAGUUUCAGCUGAGGGAAAAAUAUUCUAAUGGCACAUAAGGAAAGCUGUCAGAGAACUGUUUUGCUCAACAUCAAAUGCAUUCCAGGCCUUAUCUAAUCAGGGAGUCUUCUUCACAGCUGAUGCAGAGGCUGUUCCUGGACCAGGAGAGAGGCCUUGAUUUUAAAUACAAAAUAAUGGUUCUUUUGGCACAGGCAAAAUUGGUCGGCAGCUGGAGGUUUGGAGUGACCCCUGACCCUCUCCCACAGUUCCUCCUGAGUCCCACUGCACUAAACUAAGCCAUGCUCAAAUCCCAGGCUCUAAUUGGUUCUGGUUUGUUUUGCUUUUCUAUUCUAUCCAGAGCUUCAAAAGGCGUUUCCAUAAUUGUUUGAGGCAUGAAAAAGGCAGGUUUCAGCUUUCCUAACUGGAAUUGGAGGUAAUUACUGUCUUGCACACACGAGCCAGUACAUGCUUCAAAUCAGAUGGCUCUGGGUUGUUUUAUAAAGUGUAGCUGGGCCUCUGAGCCAGGAGAGGGAGGAUUAUGGAACCUUCUAAAGGUUCUGUUCUAGAAAAAGAAAAAUUUGGACAUCUCAGAAACAGUGAGGGAAGCAUCCAUAUACUUCUGUGGUUACUUUAAACUCUGCCCAAGAGAUUUGGCCUGAAAAGAUUGUGUCCCCAACCUCAUCUUUCUAGAAUGAGGAGGCAUUUUUUUGGUCCUCUCUUUCAAGAGACAGGAGCUGACACCCCAUAUAACUCCCAUCUUGCUUGUAAUUAGCACCCGUGGUCUUGGCCUGGGCUGUUCACUUGUGAAAACUCAGAAUAGGGGAAACAGAGUCAAGCAUACUAAGAGCCACCUCAGAGAACCAGAUCAGGGAUGCACAUGUGGAUUCUGAGGACAGCAAACACAAACAUGGGCAGUCUCUGGCUUCUAUCCCACCCACACCACCCUGAGUGUGGACUGGGGAGCAAGACGCUAUUUCAAUCUCAGCUAAUUCACAUUACUAAUCCUCCAUGGCCUCACCUACAGAAUGAGAGUAGUGACUGGCCCAGCCUCAUAGGGUUGUUCUGACAUCUAAAUGAGGUCAACCUGUGUCAAAUGCUUGGUCUAGUAUGUGCACAUAGCGAGUACCCAAUAAUAGCUAUUAUUAUGAACAUAAUUGUCAGGGGCAUGGCUAUGAGGGCCAAAGGGACCACUUUGUAAUGGUGGAGGUUUUCAAGACUCUAGAGAUUCAGAAAUAGUGGAAGAAAAGCUGCUGCAGGAAUCAUAGAAGGAGUGGGAAGGGGAAGCAGUGUGACAGCCCCCACCUCAAAGUGUCUUCCCUCCCAAGGGCAUUUAUUGCCUUACACGUAUUAGGUGGCCUGAAAUUCCACAGAUUAGAGAUUUAGUUCCGCCUUUUUUCAACAAUAUAUCUCAACAAGAACUAGCUGGUUAAACAGCAUUCACACAUCAGUGUAAAGUGGUUUAUUUGCUUUCUUUCUAAUACCUACAUACUCAGCAGCUUGGGGGUUAAGGAACUUGGGACCGAGGAAGGAAGAGAUAAUAAUUUAAUGUCAUGAAGCUCUGCCUGGGACAAGGCCAGUCCAGAUUCUGAGAGCUCCAAUUCAAUUCACUCACUGGCCCACAGACUGCUUGCCUGGCUCAGAGGAAAAGAGGAGGUGGGGGUUGGAUGUGUGCUGGGGUCCCUGAAUAGCUUUUCUGAUUUUUGUACUCUCAUAGGGACACUCCUAAAAUAGCCUCUUCCAACAGUUUCCAGGACUGUCUCCUCUCUGGGAGUUCCUUCUCCUCUGCCAGAGAGAGGUCAUGGGGCUCAGACCUUGCUUCUCCAUUCUCACAUCACCCCUAAAUUAUCUCAGGAGGACUUGAGUCUGCCUCUGUGUUGUUCACUCCCCAAACAACUUCCCUCUUGAUUUGGAUAUUUAGGUGCCUACUUGACCUC
This 7881-nucleotide long non-coding RNA is filed under the name Canis lupus familiaris (dog). RNAcentral's name for it is "lncRNA (ENSCAFG00845003661.1)". The record is from RNAcentral. Lineage: Eukaryota; Metazoa; Chordata; Mammalia; Carnivora; Canidae.